RNAcentral lists this ribosomal RNA (471 nucleotides) under Phaeoxantha klugi. It matches the Rfam family "Bacterial large subunit ribosomal RNA", at positions 1850 to 2579 of the family's 2925-position model. The record is from RNAcentral. Lineage: Eukaryota; Metazoa; Arthropoda; Insecta; Coleoptera; Carabidae.
AGGUCUGACCUGCCCAGUGAUAUUAAUUAAAUGGCCGCAGUAUUUUGACUGUGCAAAGGUAGCGUAAUCAUUAGUUUUUUAAUUGAAAGCUUGUAUGAAUGGUCGGACGAGGUAUACACUGUCUUUAAAUAAUUUAUUGUAGAAUUUAACUUUUAAGUAAAAAGGCUUAAAUUAAACUAAUAGACGAGAAGACCCUAUAGAUCUUUAUAAGUUAAUUAUUAAUUAUGUAAGGGGCAUUUAUUAAUUAAUAAUGAAAUUUAUUUUAUUGGGGUAAUAUAAAGAUUAAAAGAAUUCUUUGAAAUAUAAACAAGAAUGAUUGGUUAAUUGAUCCAUUAAUAUUGAUUAUAAGAUUAAGUUACCUUAGGGAUAACAGCGUAAUUUUUUUAGAGAGUUCAUAUCGAUAAAAAAGUUUGCGACCUCGAUGUUGGACUAAAAAUUAUUUCGGGUGCAGAAGUUCGAAGAUUUGGUCUG